CCGCCAUUAGCUCAUCAGGAAAGAGCGCCAUCCUUCGAAGCUGGUUGCGCGGGGUUCGAGUCCCCGAUGGCGGUCCA
This 77-nucleotide transfer RNA is filed under the name Escherichia coli. RNAcentral describes it as "tRNA-Arg". It matches the Rfam family "tRNA". From Rfam's summary of the family: Transfer RNA (tRNA) molecules are approximately 80 nucleotides in length. The record is from RNAcentral. Lineage: Bacteria; Pseudomonadati; Pseudomonadota; Gammaproteobacteria; Enterobacterales; Enterobacteriaceae.